The submitters of this non-coding RNA (53 nucleotides) gave its source as unclassified sequences. The record is from Rfam.
UCCUGACAGCCGCAUAGUGUGGCUGACUUGACCCACGACAUGAGAUACACAUG